AUGGGUUUAACAACAACAUUUUCAAAAUUUACAAAAUUCAUUCAAAUUUCAUGGAUUUAAGAGCAACAUUUUCAUCAUUCCCACUAUUCAAUCAAAUAUCAUGGGUUAAACAAUAACAUUUUCAUCAUUCCCACAGUUCAAUCAAAUUUCAUGAGUUUAACAAUAACAUUUUCAUCAUUCACAAAAUUCUAUCAAUUUUCAUGGGUUUAAAAAUAAAAUCUUCAUCAUUCACACAAUUCAAUCAAAUUUCAUGGGUUUAACAACAACGUUUUCAUAAUUCACACAAUUCACUCAGAUUUCAUGGAUUUAAUAGCAAUAUUUUCAUCAUUCACACAAUUCAAUCAAAUUUCAUGGGUUUAACAACAAAAUCAUCAUCAUCCACACAAUUCUAUCAAAAUUCAUGGGUUUAACAACAACAUUUUCAUAAUUCAUAAAAUUCAUUCAAAUUUCAUGGAUUUAAUAGCAACAUUUUCAUCAUUCCCACAAUUCAAUCAAAUAUCAGGGGUUUAACAGUAGCAUUUUC
RNAcentral lists this long non-coding RNA (523 nucleotides) under Lathyrus oleraceus (garden pea). RNAcentral's name for it is "Pisum sativum (pea) long non-coding RNA (PSAT_LNC041075)". The record is from RNAcentral. Lineage: Eukaryota; Viridiplantae; Streptophyta; Magnoliopsida; Fabales; Fabaceae.